AGCAGCCGCGGUAAUUCCAGCUCCAAUAGCGUAUAUUAAAGUUGUUGCAGUUAAAAAGCUCGUAGUUGAAUUUCGAGACCGGCUUACUGGUCGUGCUAUUGUACGUACUGGUAUAAUCGGUUUCUCCUUUCUGACGAACUAUAAUGCCAUUAAUUUGGUGUUUUAGGGAAUCAGGACUGUUACUUUGAAAAAAUUAGAGUGUUUAAAGCAGGCUCACGCUUGAAUACAUUAGCAUGGAAUAACGGAAUAGGACGUUUGAUUCUAUUUUGUUGGUUUCUAGGAUCGACGUAGUGAUUAAUAGGGAUAGUUGGGGGCAUUAGUAUUCAAUUGUCAGAGGUGAAAUUCUUGGAUUUAUUGAAGACUAACUACUGCGAAAGCAUUUGCCAAGGAUGUUUUCAUUAAUCAAGAACGAAAGUUAGGGGAUCGAAGACGAUCAGAUACCGUCGUAGUCUUAACCAUAAACUAUGCCGACUAGGGAUCGGAUGAUGUUAAUUUUUAAUGACUCAUUCGGCGCCUUACG
This 520-nucleotide ribosomal RNA is filed under the name uncultured Glomus. RNAcentral describes it as "SSU rRNA". It matches the Rfam family "Eukaryotic small subunit ribosomal RNA", at positions 569 to 1092 of the family's 1831-position model. Lineage: Eukaryota; Fungi; Glomeromycota; Glomeromycetes; Glomerales; Glomeraceae. The record is from RNAcentral.